GAAACGGAAGUCCGAAAAAAAAAAGGUAAACCUCCUAUUGGGAGCAGCAUAACUCCUCCCAUUUUCCUCCAUUAAACACCACCAAAAUCUAGCCCCAAAUUUAGCCAUGAUUCACCUCUAAAUUCCAGCAAAGUCCAGCCAAAAAGCCUCCACUAAACCACCUUAAACGCUCACAAAACCAGCUGUAGCACCAACAUGAAACCCAUUGGUUAUAGCCGAUACUUCUCAGUCCAACAUCUCCAUCCAUAGCUUCAGUCGGGUUCAAUUUUGUAGUUCGAUCUCGCCCGUGAGAUCUCCGUUCGCAAGCUCCGGUUGCAGUCCAAAUUUCUGUCGAAGUUUCGUCACCGACUUCUCGAUCUUUAUUUGAUUUCUUGGCUUCCUUGUUAAGUAUUUGGUUUGGAAAUUUCUGUUGAUUACAAAAGGUCCAUCCCUUUUCUCUUUACAAAGUUACUUAUGAAUAUUGAAAUUGAUUUCCAGACUAGUUCUUAAUUGAUGUGCUUUAUUUAUAGAUUGUGUUUGUAUGCUUUGAGAUCUGUUACUUCGCUUAUAUUUGAUGUGGGUUUUCAUUCCACUAUUAUUUAGGAAUAGGAAGAAACGAAGUCAAUCAAUUGGUUCCAAAUUUGAAGGUUUAGUUCUUUUAUAUACAUAUAGUCUUGGUAGCCUUUAGUACUCCCUCCGUUUCAAUUUAUGUGAAUUUAUUUGACUGGACAUGAAAUUUAAGAAUAAAAAUAUAAACUUUUAAAAUUUAUGAUCCUAAUCAAGUCCAAAUGGACCCCGGAGUAUUUGUUAUUAGGGAUAUAGUAGAUAUACCCUAGAUCCAAUAUCAAUUUGAUAACUUGAACAUAUUUUUGU
This 852-nucleotide long non-coding RNA is filed under the name Nicotiana benthamiana. RNAcentral describes it as "long non-coding RNA (NBEN_LNC005636)". Lineage: Eukaryota; Viridiplantae; Streptophyta; Magnoliopsida; Solanales; Solanaceae. The record is from RNAcentral.